CCUACGGGUGGCUGCAGUGAGGAAUAUUGGUCAAUGGGCGUGAGCCUGAACCAGCCAAGCCGCGUGAGGGAAGAAGGUACAGUGUAUCGUAAACCUCUUUUGUCAGGGCAUAAAGGCUGGGACUAGUCCCCGUAUGUGGGUACCUGAUGAAAAAGCAUCGGCUAACUCCGUGCCAGCAGCCGCGGUAAUACGGAGGAUGCGAGCGUUAUCCGGAUUUCUUGGGUUUAAGGGGUGCGAAGGCGGCCUGUUAAGUCAGCGGUAAAAGCCUGGGGCUAAACCCCGGCGAGCCGUUGAAACUGGCGGGCUGGAGUUGGAGAGAAGUACGCGGAAUGCGCGGUGUAGCGGUGAAAUGCUUAGAUAUCGCGCAGAACCCCGAUUGCGAAGGCAGCGUACCGGCUCCACACUGACGCUGAGGCACGAAAGCGUGGGUAUCGAACAGGAUUAGAUACCCUGGUAGUC
RNAcentral lists this ribosomal RNA (459 nucleotides) under uncultured bacterium. RNAcentral's name for it is "partial 16S ribosomal RNA". It matches the Rfam family "Bacterial small subunit ribosomal RNA", at positions 338 to 795 of the family's 1533-position model. The record is from RNAcentral.